CAGCAGCCGCGGGAAUACGGAGGGUGCAAGCGUUAAUCGGAAUUACUGGGCGUAAAGCGCACGCAGGCGGUCUGUCAAGUCAGAUGUGAAAUCCCCGGGCUUAACCUGGGAACUGCAUUUGAAACUGUCAGGCUGGAGUCUUGUAGAGGGGGGUGGAAUUCCAGGUGUAGCGGUGAAAUGCGUAGAGAUCUGGAGGAAUACCGGUGGCGAAGGCGGCCCCCUGGACAAAGACUGACGCUCAGGUGCGAAAGCGUGGGGAGCAAACAGGAUUAGAUACCCCAGUAGUCCCUGUCUCUUAUAU
RNAcentral lists this ribosomal RNA (301 nucleotides) under uncultured bacterium. RNAcentral's name for it is "partial 16S ribosomal RNA". It matches the Rfam family "Bacterial small subunit ribosomal RNA", at positions 509 to 809 of the family's 1533-position model. The record is from RNAcentral.